Molecule: ribosomal RNA, 252 nt
Filed under: uncultured bacterium
Lineage: Bacteria
Description: partial 16S ribosomal RNA
Rfam family: Bacterial small subunit ribosomal RNA
Source: RNAcentral
UACGUAGGUGGCAAGCGUUAUCCGGAAUUAUUGGGCGUAAAGGGAGCGUAGGCGGCGCAUUAAGUCUGAAGUAAAAGCCAGUGGCUCAACCACUGUAAGCUUUGGAAACUGGUGUGCUAGAGUGCAGGAGAGGCAAAUGGAAUUCCAUGUGUAGCGGUAAAAUGCGUAGAUAUAUGGAGGAACACCAGUGGCGAAGGCGGUUUGCUGGCCUGUAACUGACGCUGAGGCUCGAAAGCGUGGGGAGCAAAUAGG